AACGAACGCUGGCGGCAUGCCUAACACAUGCAAGUCGAACGAGACCUUCGGGUCUAGUGGCGCACGGGUGCGUAACGCGUGGGAACCUGCCCUUAGGUUCGGAAUAACUCCCCGAAAGGGGUGCUAAUACCGGAUAAUGUCUUCGGACCAAAGAUUUAUCGCCUUUGGAUGGGCCCGCGUUGGAUUAGCUAGUUGGUAGGGUAAAAGCCUACCAAGGCGACGAUCCAUAGCUGGUCUGAGAGGAUGAUCAGCCACACUGGGACUGAGACACGGCCCAGACUCCUACGGGAGGCAGCAGUGGGGAAUAUUAGACAAUGGGCGAAAGCCUGAUCCAGCAAUGCCGCGUGAGUGAUGAAGGCCUUAGGGUUGUAAAGCUCUUUUAACCGGGAGGAUAAUGACAGUACCGGGAGAAUAAGCUCCGGCUAACUCCGUG
Molecule: ribosomal RNA, 433 nt
Filed under: uncultured bacterium
Lineage: Bacteria
Description: partial 16S ribosomal RNA
Rfam family: Bacterial small subunit ribosomal RNA
Source: RNAcentral